Long non-coding RNA from Hevea brasiliensis (rubber tree), 702 nucleotides. RefSeq lists it as uncharacterized. Lineage: Eukaryota; Viridiplantae; Streptophyta; Magnoliopsida; Malpighiales; Euphorbiaceae. The record is from RefSeq and is a predicted model, not a curated record. The transcript is spliced from 4 exons.
UGGGAAAGGAGUCCCUCAGCUUCCACCCCAUACAUAGCCUUCAAAAGUGGAAUUCCCAGGAUCAAAGUAUUGGGCAAUGUUGACAGAGAAAGACCAGUGAUUAUCCAAUUCAACCUUCCUCUGGAGCUGAUUUUGGGAUUGUUGCUGGAAAUAACAUGGAAAGAUAAUAGUGGGAUUGAAAAUUUAGCAACAAAUUUGUUUAUGCCUGCACACUGAUCUGGUGUAAAAAGCCUCCACCAUUUCAUAGAGAUGUAGGCCAAUAUCAUGGCAAAAUACAAUGGAACUGUGGCAGCCACCACAUGAUAUACAUCUGCUAAAGAAAUCAUGGGAACUAGAGAUUGAAGUGGUGUAAUAGAGGAAUAAAGAAGUGAAUUGCAAGGGAAGUAAUUGAAGGUUUAUGACAGUGGAUAAUCAUCCAGUGGCCAGCUGUUGAAACCUUUUGAAAUCAAGAUGAGAGAUCUUAUAUAGUUGUAGGGCAUUACAAGUGGAUAGUUGUAACUCUACUGAACAAGACCUUUUAAGAUUGCUUGAUAGUGAAUAUGAUCACAACAUGAAAGGUGAACAUCAAGGGUAACUUGUUCUAACUUUAAACAUGGUACCCUCAUGCUCAUGUAGAGACAUGUAGGCUUAAGAUAGAACAUAUACACAUGAUAUUGAAUUUUAAAAUUAAAGAGAAUUUUUGAGAUUUCUUUUGAUGCAAAA